GAGUUUGAUCAUGGCUCAGAUUGAACGCUGGCGGCAUGCCUUACACAUGCAAGUCGAACGGCAGCACGGGAGCUUGCUCCUGGUGGCGAGUGGCGAACGGGUGAGUAAUGCAUCGGAACGUAUCCUGGAGUGGGGGAUAACGUAGCGAAAGUUACGCUAAUACCGCAUAUUCUGUGAGCAGGAAGCGGGGGACCUUCGGGCCUCGCGCUCUUGGAGCGGCCGAUGUCGGAUUAGCUAGUUGGUGAGGUAAAGGCUCACCAAGGCGACGAUCCGUAGCAGGUCUGAGAGGAUGAUCUGCCACACUGGAACUGAGACACGGU
RNAcentral lists this ribosomal RNA (320 nucleotides) under bacterium enrichment culture clone ALO1_GLFRUDD03HAQT8. RNAcentral describes it as "bacterial SSU rRNA". It matches the Rfam family "Bacterial small subunit ribosomal RNA", at positions 9 to 330 of the family's 1533-position model. The record is from RNAcentral.